UAUUCUGCAGCGGCGGCGAACGAUUCCUCCCUCUAAUCUCAUUAGGUCUGCAAAGCAGCCCAAUUAGAUACUAUAAAACAAACAAUCACUUUGUCACUUUAAUGUUUUCACUUCAAAAGAUUUAGGACUGAUAAAACGGUGGCUCCUAAAGUUGCCUCCGACCUUUAAAAAUUUGCUCGGAACUCAGGAUGUCCCCUUUUCUUCACCCCUUCUUCUGCCCGCCUCCCCCACAUUAGCCCCCAGCUCUCCUUUGUUCACUCGCCCUUCUUUUCAGAAAGCCAAAUAAACAGCUCCUUUGAUGUGCGGCGGCUGCCUGCGAGGAGAAGUCUGAGGGACUCUGGCUAGGCGGGCAGCGCAGAUGGAAGGGCCCGGCUGCCCGUGGACAACAGGCUCAGCCACGGCUGGCCCCAUUCGGGGCGCCUUCCCCGUGGGCACAACUUCACCCUCGACGCAGCCUCGCCGCGCGGGCUCCUCACUGCAUCCCCAGGCUGAGGGGGUUGGGGAUGGGGUCGGGACCCUGCUCGGCCGAGGCCCGGGAACUCCGAGUUCCCACCUGGUUUGCUCAGCCUGCUCCCGGCAGUGCCACGGCGUUGGCGGAAGCCUGUAGGUGUCUCGGUCGCUAGCC
Molecule: long non-coding RNA, 625 nt
Filed under: Homo sapiens (human)
Lineage: Eukaryota; Metazoa; Chordata; Mammalia; Primates; Hominidae
Description: HSALNT0222172
Source: RNAcentral